RNAcentral lists this ribosomal RNA (612 nucleotides) under uncultured bacterium. RNAcentral describes it as "bacterial SSU rRNA". It matches the Rfam family "Bacterial small subunit ribosomal RNA", at positions 58 to 659 of the family's 1533-position model. The record is from RNAcentral.
CAAGUCGAACGGUAACAGGCAGAAGCUUGCUUCUGCGCUGACGAGUGGCGGACGGGUGAGUAAUACGUAGGAAUCUGCCCUAAAGUGGGGGAUAACCCGAGGAAACUCGGGCUAAUACCGCAUAAUCUCUACGGAGCAAAGCUGGGGACCUUAGGGCCUGGCGCUUUAGGAUGAGCCUACGUCAGAUUAGCUUGUUGGUAGGGUAAUGGCCUACCAAGGCGACGAUCUGUAGCUGGUCUGAGAGGACGAUCAGCCACACUGGGACUGAGAUACGGCCCAGACUCCUACGGGAGGCAGCAGUGGAGAAUAUUGGACAAUGGGCGAAAGCCUGAUCCAGCAAUGCCGCGUGUGUGAAGAAGGCCUUCGGGUUGUAAAGCACUUUCAGUAAGGAAGAAAUGCUCACGGUUAAUACCCGUGGGUCUUGACGUAACUUACAGAAGAAGCACCGGCUAACUCUGUGCCAGCAGCCGCGGUAAUACAGAGGGUGCGAGCGUUAAUCGGAAUUACUGGGCGUAAAGCGCGCGUAGGCGGAUACUUAAGUCGGAUGUGAAAUCCCUGGGCUCAACCUAGGAAUUGCACUCGAUACUGGGUAUCUAGAGUAUGGUAGAGGAA